CGCAUCUGUGCAUGCAGCAUAUCAAUAAGCGGAGGAAAAGAAACUAACAAGGAUUCCCCUAGUAACGGCGAGUGAAGCGGGAAGAGCUCAAAUUUGAAAUCUUAAAGGGUUUCCCUUUACGAAUUGUAGUUUAAAGAAGUGUUUUCUGUUGAGGUUUUGGUAAUAGUUCUUUGGAAUAGGACAUCAUAGAGGGUGAGAAUCCCGUAUUUGACCUUUACUUUCAACUUUGUGAUACACUUUCAAAGAGUCGGAUUGUUUGGGAAUGCAGUCCAAAAUGGGUGGUAAAUUUCAUCUAAAGCUAAAUAUUGGCGAGAGACUGAUAGCGAACAAGUACCGUGAGGGAAAGAUGAAAAGAACUUUGAAAAGAGAGUUAAACAGUACGUGAAAUUGUCAAAAGGGAAGCGUUUGACACCAGUGUUGUUUUUCUGAAAAUCAAUUAAAGAACUGUUUAUGCUAAGCUGUUUAGACUUUAUCAGCUAACUGUUUAGUUUUGAGCUUUUCUUUAAUGCACUUUUCAGUUAACAAGUCAACAUCAAUUUCUUUUGCUGUAAAAAAGCUUGAGGAAGGUGGCUUGAGAUUCGUCUUAAGUGUUUAUAGCCUCUUGCCUAUGCAGUCGGAGAGAUUGAGGUCUGCAGCGUAGAUCCUUCGGGGCUAAAUGCAUUUGUGCUAAGUUAUAGCAUUUUAUAGACAACUUGUUGACUAUGAUUUGUCUUGUAGCUUACUCGCUUAUGUUAUUUUACCUACGCUUAGGAUGUUGAGUCAUCACACAUCUCU
This 774-nucleotide ribosomal RNA is filed under the name uncultured Neocallimastigales. Its description in RNAcentral is "partial large subunit ribosomal RNA". It matches the Rfam family "Eukaryotic large subunit ribosomal RNA", at positions 26 to 614 of the family's 3401-position model. The record is from RNAcentral. Lineage: Eukaryota; Fungi; Neocallimastigomycota; Neocallimastigomycetes; Neocallimastigales.